UACGUAGGAUCCAAGCGUUGUCCGGAUUUACUGGGUGUAAAGGGUGCGCAGGCGGACGGGUAAGUCAGAGGUGAAAUCUCGUCGCUUAACGAAGAAACUGCCUUUGAUACUAUCAGUCUUGAGUCCGGUAGAGAUCGGUGGAAUUCCGAGUGUAGCAGUGAAAUGUGUAGAUAUUCGGAAGAACACCAGUGGCGAAGGCAGCAGAUUGGGCCGGUACUGACGCUCAGGGACGAAAGCGUGGGGAUCAAACAGG
RNAcentral lists this ribosomal RNA (253 nucleotides) under uncultured bacterium. RNAcentral's name for it is "partial 16S ribosomal RNA". It matches the Rfam family "Bacterial small subunit ribosomal RNA", at positions 524 to 776 of the family's 1533-position model. The record is from RNAcentral.